GGAAGUUCCGCGUGUUAUUCUUUCGAUUGACAUUUACUGAUUGCUUGUCGCUUCGAGCAGUAAAUAUUGUCACGGGGAGUGCAUUACACCUAUUACACCGUCACUGUAUGGCAGGUACACGAGAAAACACCCGCCAAAUGGUACGAGGAGCGGA
Molecule: unclassified non-coding RNA, 154 nt
Filed under: Copidosoma floridanum
Lineage: Eukaryota; Metazoa; Arthropoda; Insecta; Hymenoptera; Encyrtidae
Description: platelet glycoprotein Ib alpha chain, transcript variant X3
Source: RNAcentral